GCCUUGAUCAGUGGGUUAAGGAUCCAGUGGUGCCGUGAGCUCUGGCAUAGGUCACAGAUGCAGCUCAGAUCUGGUGUUACUGCGGCUGUGGUGUAGGCUGGCAGCUGCAACUCCAAUUUGACCUCUCGCCUGGCAACUUCCAUACAUCACAGGUAUGGCCAUAAAAAGCAAAAAAAAAAAGAAAGAAAGAAAAGAAAAUCUCCUUCUGAAUUAUCAACAAUAAUAUGUGUUACUCAAAAUGUGGAACCACUUUGACUUUUCCUUUUUUUUUUUUCUUGGCUGCACCCACGGCAUGCAGAAGUUGCCAGGCCAGAGUUCGAACAGCAGUGGCAAUGCUGGAUCUUUAAGCCUCUAGGCCACCAGGAAACUCCUGAUGCUUCAUUGGGUAACACUGGGCUGGAUAUGCGAACCCACCUUUUCAAACACCAUUCUGGCAUUGAAGACCAGUGGGAAGUUGGCUGGGACACAUUGUGUCUUUUUGUACUGGCCGAACACACAGAUGCUAAGAUAGAUGUCCUCCUUGUCUUUCAGCACCACUCCUGGGCAAGUUACCUGGAAGAUAUUAGACAGACGGACGUGACUGCUUCAUGAAUUCCCCGAACGAGCCUACUAAAAUAACGUACCAAACAUUGCAUAAAAACACUAGUCUGCUAAUAAAAAUAUGCACAAGUAAAAAAAAAAAAAAAAAGAGAGAGAGAGAGAGAGAGAGAUUCUAAUGUUUACAGAGUUAAAAGAAAUGCCUUUAUAACUUCCAUCCCUCUGAGAAAUCUAUGAUUUUCCACUUGGUUAUUUGUGCCACAUUUUGAACACUACGUACUGGCUCCUGGGACAGACACUAACAGUUUUUUAAACAGUCAGCCUUAGGCUCCCACUGUAUGUAGAAUGCUGACAUAAACUUAUUCAGCAUCAUUUAAUCACAAAGGAUUAAGACUCAGCAGAAAUAAAACACUACACUAGAGGACAAAAAAAAAAAAAAUCCAGAAAAGCACAAAGACCUGUUUCAACCUAAAUAGCAGCCCACACACAUCCUCAUGAUGGGAAGAAAAAAAAAUACAUAUAUAUAUAUAUGACAAACUUUCAAAGCAAGUGAAUUGCAAGUUUCAAGCCCAAUAAGUAUUUUUAAUAUAAAACUGCACUUAACUAUUCUCAUGACUGACACAAAGUAUAGGUAUAAAAUGUGGGUUUUCUAAGAAAUACAUAGCACAGUCUCUCCAGUUCCGCCGUAUUUCAUUAACAGUGAUCAAUCAUACCCUGACUAGGAUAUGAAAGAUUCUCUAUCAUUUGAAUCCAACCUAUCACAGAGCAAAUAUGACUCAACACCUCCUAAAAAUACAAGCAAAGCAUAUUUGUUAUUGUUUUCUAAACACACACGUUGCUUUCUUGCCUCACAUUCUUCCACUCUCUUAUUACUACUCAGUACUAUUCCAGUCCGUCUCUCCUCAUCUCCUUCCACCACUUCCCAAGGCUUACAUUAGCUGCCACCCCAUAUAUAAAACUUCCCAUGACUGGAGUUCCCGUCGUGGCUCAACGGCUAACGAACCUGACUAGUAUCCAUGAGGAUGCAGGUUCAAUCCCUGGUCUUGCUCAGUGGGUUAAGGAUCUGGUGUUGCCAUGAACUGUGGUGCAGGUCGCAGACGUGGCUCAGAUCUCGAGUUGCUGUGGCUGUGGUGUAGGCCGGCAGCUACAGCUCCGACUCAACCUCUGCCCUGAGAACCUCCAUAUGCCACAGGUGUGGCACUAAAAAGACAAAAACAAAACAAAACAAAACAAAAGUAAUUUACCAGCUAUCACUAUUCAAUUCAAUCUACUUUAAACAUUUACUGUGAAUUUAUUAUAGUCAAGUAAAUAGGUUUUAGAUUCUCAUGGCAUUUUAUAGUUCUCUUCAGGCCCUAAUUAUUUUCUCCAUGCAUUUUAAUUAAGUGGGUACAUCUCACCUCUUUUAUGAUUAUAAAUUCCCUGAGAAUAGAAAUUCUAAUUUCCUCAUCAAUGUACCCAAAACACAAACUUGAAGUAUUAAGAAGCAGCUUAGAAAUUAUCUGGUACAGCUUCAGAUUAUUUAUAUAGGAAAAUAAAAGUAAAGGUGAUUUGCCUACUUAAAGUCACCCAAUAAAUGAGUCAAUACAAUACAUUCAAAGUGCUUGGAACGGUGCCUGACAGUGCAUUCGAUGAAUACUAGCUAUAGUUAUUAUUAGACUAAAAACCACUAUCAUCUCCCAUCUUCAUAUAGACUACUGCACUGAACGCACACUAAAACUUCAUGUCCCUUUGUACGCAGCAGUCAGGAUCAUUUUCCAUGCCAGCUAUUCGGACUCCAUUUACCGCUUUCUUAUUCUACUUUCUAUUUGUGUCCCAACAUAUUCACUAUUUGUAAAGUCAAAGUCUUCAGUAAAUUUCAUUCUACCCAUCCGCUUCAUUUUCUACUCUGAUUCAUGAAAACCAAACCUGGUAGAGUCCCUCUAAAUCCACAUUAUGCCUACAGAUGUGACUGGUCCAAAUCGAGAGAGACCGUAAGUGUAAAAUACAAGAUUCUGAAGAUUUUUGAAGACUGUUGAAAAAGAUUUUUAAAGACUUUUUACAAAAAAAACUGUGAAAAAGCUCAUUGACAACUUUUAAAUUAAUUACAUGUUGAAAGGAUAGUACUUUGAAAAUACUGAUUUAAAAUUACUGUUAAAAUUAAUUUUAUCACUUUCAAUUUUUUAAUGUAGCUGGUAAAAAUUUUAAACUCCAUCUUUGGCUCAGUUUUGGCUCAAAUUACAUUUCUAUUAUACAUCACAGAUCUAAUUGUCUUCAGUGGCAAUUACUGAGACUCUUUCCAAUUUGUAAAGAAUGUAGGAAGACAUAACAUUUUUUCUCAUCCACAAUUCUACAGCUUCUACCAUUCUUUAAAGGAAUACCAUGGAACAUUUCAAAAAGGCCACAAGAAAAGGGGGAUUAAAGAAAAUCCAAUCGAACAAAUAGAAAAUAAAUAGCAAAGGAGCUGACUUAAACCAGCAUACGGACAAUUACAUGAAUAUAAAUAUCCUAAGUAUUGUAAUCAAAAGAUAGAAAUUAUCAAAUUGGAUAAAAAAGCAAGACAUGAUAUGCUUAUUUGCAAAGAAAAAAUUUUUUAAAGAUUAAGACACAUAUAGAAAAAGUACUUUUAGAAUAGUGGAGUAAAUAUCUCAAAAAUCAGCCCCUCCACAGAGGAUCUGAACAGACAUUUUUCCAAAGAAGAUAUACGUAUAGCCAACGAGCACAUGAAAAGACUUUCCACAUCACUAAGCGUCGGGGGAAAUGCAAGUCAAAACCACAGUGAGGUACUACCUCCAACGUGACAAAAUUGGCUAUUCUCAAAAUGACCAGAAACAAGUGUUGGUGGGGAUGUAGAAAAAGGGACUCCUCAGGCAUUGUUGGCAGGAAUAUAAAUUGGUGCAGCCACUGGGGCAAACAGCAUACUGGAAGUCCCUCACAAAACUAACAGUGGAUCCAACGAUUCCACUUCUAAGUAUUUCUCUGAAGAAAAUGAAGACACUAAUUUGAAAAGAUGUAUGUACCAUGUUCAUUGCAGCCCUAUGUACAAUAGCCAAGGUACGGAAGCGACCUAACUGUCCAAAAAUAGAUGAACGGAUAAAGAAGGUGUGAUACACACUAGAAUAUAACUUGGCCAUAAAAAAAAAAAAAAAAGACAUAUUGCCAUUUUCAACAACAUGGAUGGACGUAAAGGGUACUGCGCCAAGUGAAAUACGUCGGAUAGAAAAAGACAAAAACAUAAAAUUUAAUAUGUGAAAUCUAAAAACAAAUGAACAAACAAAAUAGAAACAGACUCACAGAUACGAAGAACAAACUGGGAGUUGCAGGGGUGGGUUGCAGGAUUCAGACAAAGUGGAUAAAGGGCUCUAAGAGGUACAAACCUCCAGCUAUUAGGUAAAUAAGAAAUGGAAUUAAUAUACAACAUCGAGAAUAUAUUCAAUAAUAUUGUAAUAAUUCCGUGUGGAGACAGAUAGUAACUAGACUUCUCAUUAUGAAACAUUUUAUAAUGUAUAAAUAUAUGGAAUCCCUAUGUUGUACACCAGAAACCAAUAUAACACUGGAUGUCAAUUAUAAUUCUAUAAAAAAAAUUGUUGUGACAAACGGUGAAUAAUGAAUAAGAUUCCUAAAUAGGACAUUAUUGCCAUACAAAUGCUUAAUUUAUUGUGUGGGGGAACUGCAUUAUAAUUUAUGCAGCAGAAUGUUCCUAGGAGUUUUAUACUGAAAUAUUUAGUGUCUGAAUGUAAAUAAUUUACUUUCAAAUAAUUCAUCAAGGAGUUCCCUUCAUGGCUCAGUGGAAACGAACCCGACCAGCAACUAUGAGGUUGCGGGUUUGAUCCCUGGCUUCGCUCAGUGGGUUAAGGAUCUGGCAUUGCCGUGAGCUGUGAUGUAGGUCACAGACAUGGCUCAGAUCCUACGUUGCUGUGGCUCUGGUACAGGCCAGCAGCUACAGCUCCAAUUCGACCCCUAGCCUGGGAACCUCUAUACGCCGUGAGUGCAGCCCUAAAAAGCAAAACCAAAACAACAACAACAAAUAAUUCAUCGAUACAUUUGUAUGUUUAUAUCUAUACUUAUAGAGAUAAAUCAGAUGUGAAACAAGCAAAAAAAUCAGCCCAUCUGUAAAGGCAAUGAGAAUAUUACCAAAGAUGUCAAAAUCAACCUUUUAGAGCUCUGGAAAUUAACCAGAAGUUUGCAGCAAUCUAAAGAGCACUUUUUCAAGAAAAAAAGCUGAAUUUUGGUAAAAACAAUGAUAUUGCGUUUAAUAUACUUUAUUCCCCAAAUCCUCCACUCAGGUCUGCUAGAGCCUUGAAAACCAAAACACUUAUAAUCAUGGUAGCCAUGAAAACUAGUAGCCUCACAGCCACAAUAGGAAAUCAGGUUUAGAGCUACCUAAAAGCCCCAUCCCCAGGGAACUGUCAUUAUCUGACCUGUCUGACAAUACCCUAGAAACCCCCUUUCGCAGGGCUUCUCUUUAUUUGUCUUGAAUCCCUGCUUAGUCACAACAAACAUCCUUCACCUGAAAGGUGUUUGUCAAAAACAAUAAGCAGCUCUUGUUUAACAACACGGAUGCAUGAGGCAGUGAUCACAAUUACAGCAAACAAUGAGUGAACAAAAUACUUAAAAGGCAAAGCUGGAGAAUCUGAAUCGUGUGUGUGUGUGUGUGUGUGUGUGUGUGUGUUGGGGGGGAGCUGUCUUUGACAAGUUAUGAUAUAUUCUUGGCAAUUUAGAAGGUCAUGCACUCACACAAGGCUAUGCACAUGCCCAGAGAGAAACCCUGAUCUCUCACCUCUGGCUGAUCUUGAAGCUUAGAAAAUGCUGGAAGUGGGGAGUUCCCACUGUGGCUCAGCAGGUUGCGAACCCGACUAGUAUACAUGAGGACAGGGGUUCAAUCCCUGGCCUCAAUCAGUGGGUUAAGGAUCCGGCAUUGUCAUGAGCUGUAGUGUAGACCACAGACACAGCUCAGAUAGUGUUGCUGUGACUGUGGUGUAGGCUGGCAGCUGCAGCUCUGGUUCAACCCCUAGCCUGGGAACUUCCAUGUGCCAUGGGUGCAAGCCUCAAAAAAAAAAUGCUGGCAGUAAAGACUAAGACAGAUUAUAAACUCCCUUCAGGGCAUGGAAAGCCUUUCCCAACAUGCAACAGAGAUACUUGGCAAAAGCAGGGGGACUCACUGGUUCAAGGCAUUUAAGGAAAUACAAGUCUAGUCAUUAGAGGGCCAUGAAGCUAACUGAGCAGAGACUUCAGUGGCCACACACAACAAAGACAGACUUUACAGAAUACAGACCUCAGCUCAAGAAAGUGACUAAACCAAUGAAAAGCAGCAACAACAACAGAAAACAAAACAAAACAA
This 5854-nucleotide long non-coding RNA is filed under the name Sus scrofa (pig). Its description in RNAcentral is "lncRNA (ENSSSCG00040068663.1)". The record is from RNAcentral. Lineage: Eukaryota; Metazoa; Chordata; Mammalia; Artiodactyla; Suidae.